Molecule: unclassified non-coding RNA, 2673 nt
Filed under: Hevea brasiliensis (rubber tree)
Lineage: Eukaryota; Viridiplantae; Streptophyta; Magnoliopsida; Malpighiales; Euphorbiaceae
Source: RNAcentral
GGGGAAUGCAGUUUUCUGAUCCGAGCUGUGUAUUUACUCCAGCGCGUCUGCUCGAAUGUUUUCACCUUCUCUAUCGCGCCAAUUAGCUUGACCAAGCGGAUCUCUUCACUCUUGCCGGACGCGGCUGACAUCACUCCCUCUCUCCACUCUCAUAAAAAGGUGCCCCUGCCCUUCUCCAUCUCUCUCUCACUCAGUUUUUCCAAAUUCCUGUUCUCAACAAACCUAACUAACAAACUCCAUCGAUUCUCUUCAUUUAACUCCAUUUCCUUCAGUUUCUUCUUCUUUUGAUUUAUUUUAUGUACAGAAGGUGCGUCCAUGGAUCAGCUUGUCAAUAGAAAGUUGGAGUGAGAAAAUAGAUGGCUCAAUUCUGCGAUUCCAAUGGCUUUUCGAUUAAAGCCGAGUAUGAAGCUAAUGACGUUGAUUGGGUCAGUGAGCUCGAUUAUAUUCCAUUGGGGUUUCGGCGACAGCUGUUACUGGCAAGGAAGUUGAAUUCAUGCUCGCCUGACAGUCAAUCAACGUUAAGUGAUUUCUUUUGAAGCUCAUCUUUUUGUGUCUUUGUUAUUGAAACGUUUGUGGUUUGGUGCUUAAAAGGCUUUUAUGAGGUUUUUAAUUAUUAUUAUUUUUCAAUUAUGAAUUUACAGCCCUCAAACGAUCGUUAUAAAGAAGGGAAAUGAGGAACAGGAAAGUGAUUGGCAGCAGGUUUCCCCCAUCAAUAAAGACAUAGAUCAGCAGUCAGUGCAACCAGAAAGUCAUGAAACUAGAGCUUCUUCGGGAGUUGAUCCAGUAGUAGCGUGCAACAAAAUUCAGGUGGAUUGUGAUGCAGCUGAUAAAUGUGCACAAAAUGCAACUGCUUACCAACUGGCCAUGCAAGGAGAUUGUGACAGCUGUUGGACUAAAGUAAAUAGAAGCUUUUAUUCAGAUCAGAGUUUAUUAGGCGGCAGUAUGAUUGGCUCCAUUGGUGCUAAUGUUGAAGAACUGAAGCUCAAGAUUAAUAAUUCUGAUGACUUUGUAGAUGAUCUUGAUCACAUUGUACUAAAAGAGAGGCACAGGAUGCUGCUAUCAAGGAAAAUGUUGAGGAUUGAAAAGCCAAUUCUGGAGGAAACAUCAUAUGAUGCACUUGAUAGUGUACCUGCGAGCACAAAUAGCGUGUCUGGUUCAACCUUAUUGAAUUUGGUCCGAGUGAAGGCUGAACCAUUGAAUAACAAUGAAUCGAACAGCUCAAGCAGGAAUGCUAGUGGUAACUUUUCUUUUAACAUAGUACAAGCAAAGACUGAAAUUGAGUUCCCUGAUGAACUCAAUAGAGACAACAUAGAUCACAUGCAAUUGCGUAAUCGGAUGAAGUUGCUGACACCGAGAGAGGAUUCUAAAUUAAAUAGUUCAGGGAAUUUUGAAUGCUUGAGGAAAAGUGGCCCCUCUGUUGAUAAUGACCCUGCUGUCAUGGAAGCUUCAAACCCAAUAAGGAUCAACCGUCCACGGAAAAGGAAGAAGACUGCCACGGAUUCAAUUGAAACUGCUCUGGAGGAAGAUGCUCCUGGGCUUCUACAGGUCAUAGAUUCUUGCUUUUAUCUCUCCCGUGAAAUUCAAGUUAGUUGAGUUCUAUUCUGAGCUUUUUAUUUGGCAGGUGUUAGUUGAACAAGGGGUAUCAGUUGAUGAAAUUAAGCUUUAUGGAGUCGGAGACGCAGAUAAUGAUGAAGCCAUUGAUGAAUCAUUAAUUGAAGAUGGCUUUGCAGAGCUUGAAGAUGUGAUGUCAAAGAUAUUCUUUCAGCGCAACUCUUUUUUGAAGUUCGCUACUUUACGAUGCACCAAGGGUACAAAGGCCAGUUAUUGCUUAGCUUGUCUAUUCUCACUUGUGGAGCAGACACGAUAUCUACAAUUUCGUAGUUGGCCUGCUGAAUGGGGUUGGUGUCGAGAUAUCCAGUCAUUUAUAUUUGUCUUUGAAAGGCAUAGAAGAAUAGUGCUGGAACGUCCUGAGUAUGGCUACGCAACCUAUUUCUUUGAGCUGGUUGACUCCUUAUCCAUUGAUUGGCAGAUCAAGCGAUUGGUGACUGCCAUGAAACUUACAAACUGUGGCAGGAUUACCCUAAUUGAAAACAAAACAUUAUUGGUUGGAGAAGACUUAACUGAAGGUGAGGCACAGGUGUUAAUGCAGUACGGCUGGACACCAAAUAGUGGCAUAGGAACUAUGCUUAAUUACUGCGACAGAGUUGUACAUGACAGGAAGAAUGAGAAGGAGAGCUCAGAAUGGAGAUCAAAAAUAGGGAAGUUGCUGAUGGAUGGCUAUAAUGGGGGAAGUAUCGUCUCAUCCAACGUCCAGGAAAAUGUUAUACAAAGUGAGGUUGAUGAGGGGGAGGGCCCCCAGAUUAAGAUGGAGCUCUAAUUUAAGUCUUCGUUUUCCCUUUUCUUUGGGUGUGGUGGAUGCAACAUAUGCAAGAGCUCUAAUUAGUCUUUAGCAUGACCUAAACAUGUGUAAAUCGUUAGAUAAGCAAUCCAUAGGUUUUUGUACAGUUAAUUACAAGAAAUGAAACAAAUAUGUUCUAAUGAUUGUUUUCUUGUGGUUUAUUUUCUGAAAUAAUUAUUCCCUUCUUUUCCUUUGCGGAGAAAGAUAUUAGAAGUUUCCAUUUGGUUGGAUUUAGAAUUUCAAAAAAAAUGCAAAUUUUUUGGAAUUAAUUAAUU